GACGAACGCUGGCGGCGUGCUUAACACAUGCAAGUCGAGCGGUAAGGCCCUUUCGGGGGUACGACGAGCGGCGAACGGGUGAGUAACACGUGGGUGACCUGCCCUCAGUUCUGGGAUAAGCCUGGGAAACCGGGUCUAAUACUGGAUAUGACCUCAUGACGCAUGUUGUGGGGUGGAAAGCCUUGUGCGACUGAGGAUGGGCCCGCGGCCUAUCAGCUUGUUGGUGGGGUGAUGGCCUACCAAGGCGACGACGGGUAGCCGGCCUGAGAGGGCGACCGGCCACACUGGGACUGAGACACGGCCCAGACUCCUACGGGAGGCAGCAGUGGGGAAUCUUGCGCAAUGGGCGAAAGCCUGACGCAGCGACGCCGCGUGAGGGAUGACGGCCCUCGGGUUGUAAACCUCUUUCAGCUCCGACGAAGCGAAAGUGACGGUAGGAGCAGAAGAAGCACCGGCCAACUACGUGCCA
RNAcentral lists this ribosomal RNA (469 nucleotides) under uncultured bacterium. RNAcentral's name for it is "bacterial SSU rRNA". It matches the Rfam family "Bacterial small subunit ribosomal RNA", at positions 28 to 510 of the family's 1533-position model. The record is from RNAcentral.